AUAGCGUAUAUUAAAGUUGUUGCAGUUAAAAAGCUCGUAGUUGAACCUUGGGCCUGGCUGGCCGGUCCGCCUCACCGCGUGCACUGGUCCGGCCGGGCCUUUCCUUCUGGGGAGUCGCAUGCCCUUCACUGGGUGUGUCGGGGAACCAGGACUUUUACUUUGAAAAAAUUAGAGUGUUCAAAGCAGGCCUAUGCUCGAAUACAUUAGCAUGGAAUAAUAGAAUAGGACGUGUGGUUCUAUUUUGUUGGUUUCUAGGACCACCGUAAUGAUUAAUAGGGUCAGUCGGGGGCAUCAGUAUUCAAUUGUCAGAGGUGAAAUUCUUGGAUUUAUUGAAGACUAACUACUG
RNAcentral lists this ribosomal RNA (346 nucleotides) under uncultured eukaryote. RNAcentral describes it as "SSU rRNA". It matches the Rfam family "Eukaryotic small subunit ribosomal RNA", at positions 594 to 945 of the family's 1831-position model. The record is from RNAcentral.